UACAGAGGGUGCAAGCGUUGUUCGGAAUUACUGGGCGUAAAGAGUGUGUAGGCGGUGCUCUAAGUUUGGUGUGAAAUCUCCCGGCUCAACUGGGAGGGUGCGCCGGAAACUGGAAUGCUUGAGCGUGGGAGAGGAAAGCGGAAUUCCUGGUGUAGCGGUGAAAUGCGUAGAUAUCAGGAGGAACACCUGCGGUGUAGACGGCUUUCUGGACCAUUGCUGACGCUGAGACACGAAAGCGUGGGUAGCAAACAGG
This 253-nucleotide ribosomal RNA is filed under the name uncultured bacterium. Its description in RNAcentral is "partial 16S ribosomal RNA". It matches the Rfam family "Bacterial small subunit ribosomal RNA", at positions 524 to 776 of the family's 1533-position model. The record is from RNAcentral.